AACCUGAGCGAUAGCUCCAGGACGCUUUCGACACCGGCGCAUCAGCCAUAAUUGCAUCGCCCGCGUCGUCACGGUUUCAGUCCUUCCGGUUUCCUGGGGUUGUUGUUUGAUGGGUUGUUCGAUGACUCCGCCAUUGGAUUGGGAAGAAAGAAGAGAAUUAAUGUCUCGCUGAAAUCCUUCAUUAGCCAGGCUGAGCACGAUCCUAUUGGAACAGUUUGAAGUUUACGUCAUGUGGACCUCGUUAGGAGUGAUGAAAGCGGGCAAUUUCAGCUGCAGCCAGAUGUCCCUAGGGAACCAUUCCCAGCUCAGAAUGGCUGUCCUCACUGAAUCACAAGUUAAAGGUGACCACAAAUCUGCUUUCUGGCACUGUAAGUUAGUCUGCAUCUUCUAAAAGUUCAUAUAAAUAGAAUCACAUGGUAUGUACGCUCUCUUUUAUGGCUUCUUUCACCCAGAAUAAUUAUUUUGACAUUUAUCCAUAU
Long non-coding RNA from Hippopotamus amphibius kiboko, 479 nucleotides. RefSeq lists it as uncharacterized. NCBI's taxonomy places the organism in Eukaryota, Metazoa, Chordata, Mammalia, Artiodactyla, Hippopotamidae. The transcript has 3 exons. The record is from RefSeq and is a predicted model, not a curated record.